This 1446-nucleotide ribosomal RNA is filed under the name uncultured bacterium. RNAcentral describes it as "partial 16S ribosomal RNA". It matches the Rfam family "Bacterial small subunit ribosomal RNA". The record is from RNAcentral.
CUAACACAUGCAAGUCGAACGCGAAAGUCCUUCGGGAUGAGUAGAGUGGCGGACGGGUGAGUAACGCGUAGGAAUCUGUCCUGUAGUGGGGGAUAACGUUUCGAAAGGGACGCUAAUACCGCAUACGCCCUACGGGGGAAAGCGGGGGAUCUUCGGACCUCGUGCUAUAGGAGGAGCCUGCGUCGGAUUAGCUAGUUGGUGAGGUAAAGGCUCACCAAGGCGACGAUCCGUAGCUGGUCUGAGAGGAUGAUCAGCCACACCGGAACUGAGACACGGUCCGGACUCCUACGGGAGGCAGCAGUGGGGAAUAUUGCGCAAUGGGCGAAAGCCUGACGCAGCCAUACCGCGUGUGUGAAGAAGGCCUUCGGGUUGUAAAGCACUUUCAGUGGGGAGGAAAAGCUGGUGGCUAAUAUCCAUCGGCCGUGACGCUACCCACAGAAGAAGCACCGGCUAAUUCCGUGCCAGCAGCCGCGGUAAUACGUAGGGUGCGAGCGUUAAUCGGAAUUACUGGGCGUAAAGCGUGCGCAGGCGGUUUUGUAAGACAGUGGUGAAAUCCCCGGGCUCAACCUGGGAACUGCCAUUGUGACUGCAAGGCUAGAGUGCGGCAGAGGGGGAUGGAAUUCCGCGUGUAGCAGUGAAAUGCGUAGAUAUGCGGAGGAACACCGAUGGCGAAGGCAGCCCCCUGGGCCAGCACUGACGCUCAUGCACGAAAGCGUGGGGAGCAAACAGGAUUAGAUACCCUGGUAGUCCACGCCCUAAACGAUGUCAACUAGGUGUUUGGGGAAGGAGACUUUCUUAGUACCGCAGCUAACGCGUGAAGUUGACCGCCUGGGGAGUACGGUCGCAAGAUUAAAACUCAAAGGAAUUGACGGGGACCCGCACAAGCGGUGGAUGAUGUGGAUUAAUUCGAUGCAACGCGAAAAACCUUACCUACCCUUGACAUGCCAGGAAUCCUGAAGAGAUUUGGGAGUGCCCGAAAGGGAACCUGGACACAGGUGCUGCAUGGCUGUCGUCAGCUCGUGUCGUGAGAUGUUGGGUUAAGUCCCGCAACGAGCGCAACCCUUGUCGUUAAUUGCCAUCAUUUAGUUGGGCACUUUAGCGAGACUGCCGGUGACAAACCGGAGGAAGGUGGGGAUGACGUCAAGUCCUCAUGGCCCUUAUGGGUAGGGCUUCACACGUCAUACAAUGGUCGGUACAGAGGGUUGCCAACCCGCGAGGGGGAGCCAAUCCCAGAAAGCCGAUCGUAGUCCGGAUUGUAGUCUGCAACUCGACUGCAUGAAGUCGGAAUCGCUAGUAAUCGCGGAUCAGCAUGCCGCGGUGAAUACGUUCCCGGGUCUUGUACACACCGCCCGUCACACCAUGGGAGCGGGUUUCACCAGAAGUAGGUAGUCUAACCGCAAGGGGGGCGCUUACCACGGUGAGAUUCGUGACUGGGGUGAAGUCGUA